UACGAAGGGGGCUAGCGUUGCUCGGAAUCACUGGGCGUAAAGCGCACGUAGGCGGACUCUUAAGUCAGGGGUGAAAUCCUGGAGCUCAACUCCAGAACUGCCUUUGAUACUGGCAGGCUUGAAUCCGGGAGAGGGAUGUGGAAUUCCAGGUGUAGCGGUGAAAUGCGUAGAUAUCUGGAGGAACACCGGUGGCGAAGGCGGCAUCCUGGACCGGUAUUGACGCUGAGGCGCGAAAGCGUGGGGAGCAAACAGG
Molecule: ribosomal RNA, 253 nt
Filed under: uncultured bacterium
Lineage: Bacteria
Description: partial 16S ribosomal RNA
Rfam family: Bacterial small subunit ribosomal RNA
Source: RNAcentral